This 332-nucleotide ribosomal RNA is filed under the name uncultured bacterium. Its description in RNAcentral is "bacterial SSU rRNA". It matches the Rfam family "Bacterial small subunit ribosomal RNA", at positions 568 to 898 of the family's 1533-position model. The record is from RNAcentral.
CGCGUAGGCGGGAUGGCAAGUCGGUCGUGAAAUCCUUCGGCUCAACCGAAGAACGUCGGCCGAUACUGCCGUUCUUGAGGGAUGCAGAGGAGACUGGAAUUCCCGGUGUAGCGGUGAAAUGUGUAGAGAUCGGGAGGAACACCGGUGGCGAAGGCGGGUCUCUGGGCAUCUCCUGACGCUGAGGCGCGAAAGCGUGGGGAGCAAACGGGAUUAGAUACCCCGGUAGUCUACGCCAUAAACGAUGACGACUAGGUGUGGGGUGGUUCAGUCCACUCCGUGCCGCAGCUAACGCAUUAAGUCGUCCGCCUGGGGAGUACGGCCGCAAGGUUGAA